CUGCAGAGCUUGGGGCAAAGUGUCAUCUUUCAGCACUGUGGGGAGAUGUAGCUAGUGGGCACCUAUCUAUUCUAUAUUACAAACAUUGUUUGAUAGGAAGUAGAAGUGAUUGGAUGGCAACCGAUCAACACCACCUUUGAAAUGGAAUCAGGAAAUCCUAAAGAAAUGCUGUCCUAUACCCAAAGGUCUCAGAGCGGGCUACAAUAAAACCAAUAUACAACAUAAUUAAAAAACAACAUCAUAAAAUAAAAAAUACAGUAAAAAAAUACAGUGCCUGAGAGGGGAAGAACUACUACAUCUCUAGUCAACGGCCAUGGUAAAGAGGGAGGAUCAAAACUAAAGGAAGAUCUCCUACUAUUACUGCUGGACGUGGUUCUCCUGUGCCUGCACCCCAUGUCUUGUGAAUGCUGGUGUUCUUUUUGGAAUACAGUACUACAGAGCACAAUAAUAGCUCUUGUGAGAGCAGCAACAACAACAAUCAUCUCCAGGGGAUGGUGCUCUGGCUCUUCAGCAGCUUCCAAGCAGUGGCUCAGCUGCUCUCCCAGGCUGCAGGGAUCCCGAAAUCAACACAUGCUCAGACAACCACCUAGGAAAACGUGUGUGCAGGAGGAGCAGAUGGUUUCUGAGCACGACAGAAAUUUUCAGUGCAAGAGGCAGUGAUUUUACUGCUGCUGUGCUAGAGUCAUCAACAACAGCCCAGGUUGUGAUGCUUAGCUCAAGAAUUAUCUACA
This is a long non-coding RNA of Hemicordylus capensis (graceful crag lizard), 731 nucleotides long. RefSeq lists it as uncharacterized. NCBI's taxonomy places the organism in Eukaryota, Metazoa, Chordata, Lepidosauria, Squamata, Cordylidae. The transcript has 5 exons. The record is from RefSeq and is a predicted model, not a curated record.